Pseudomyrmex gracilis is the source of this 483-nucleotide long non-coding RNA. RefSeq lists it as uncharacterized. The record is from RefSeq and is a predicted model, not a curated record. The transcript has 2 exons. NCBI's taxonomy places the organism in Eukaryota, Metazoa, Arthropoda, Insecta, Hymenoptera, Formicidae.
GUUGGUCCAGUCGAGCUUUGACCACUCUCGUGAAACAUCAUCAUCACACACACAAUUCUCCCCAAGUCCUAAAACAAUAUUAUCUUAAAGUUCUAAUUAAACACGUAAGAUUCGUAAGAUUUGCUUCUGGACGACACAGCGUGGCAACGCGGUGACAUUUAAUUGGACGUGGAUACCUAGAGUUACAUGUGACAUGAAAUUGAGCCUGUUUGUAAUCAUAUUGUUGUCAAUAUUGACAACUGCAACGUGCGUGGUGCCGGUAAAACUGCUGUGGAAAGUAAAGAAAGCGAGAAUGCCGUCUCGGAGACCAAGACCCAUAAACUGUUACGGCUUGUUGUCUCUAACGAAGACUUGCCAACUCAUGCACGAUGAGUAUACUCACGUGUGACAUUUUUUUCGCGACUUAUUUGAUCGCAACGUUAUGUGUGUAAACUCCUCACAUUAUAACUUACUGAUUUUCAAAUAUAAACAUUUUUACUUCUA